GGGUGUUUAUAUUAAAAACUCAACCUUGUUAGUCAGCUCAAGAAAAAACAGUGUAAGGCUGCAGCUUCUUUGCCUUGGUAGGUUUUUUAUUGCUCUCUCUUUUAUUUUUUUUCUUUUCAGCAGCAUAGACUCACUCAAUAGUGGUAUCAUUUUCUUGAGCUGGAUGAAUAAAAUCGUCUUCCUGAUUCUUUUCAGCCAAUUGGGGGUGAGGGUGUACCAUAAGAUAAUUGGCAUGAUCUUCCUAUGGCUGACUAUAGGUACAAAGCUACAAUCUACCAGCUAAUGGAGUGGAUUGAGGAGCUAAAGGAACAGAUGUGGUUUCUUUGCCUUAGGACUGUUGUGCUGCUAAAAGCUUAUUUAUGAGCCAUUGCUACAACACAAUAUGUACUCUUACCUAAAAGAAAGAAAUGCACAAUGUUGUUUAUGAACCAUUCUUGUUUUUUGUUGAAUUAUACUUUGUGAAAAUUUUCUUGUUCCAAGCUGGUUAUAUCACUUCUGUCAUCA
Molecule: long non-coding RNA, 504 nt
Filed under: Panicum hallii
Lineage: Eukaryota; Viridiplantae; Streptophyta; Magnoliopsida; Poales; Poaceae
Description: long non-coding RNA (PHAL_LNC000358)
Source: RNAcentral